CCUACGGUGGGCAGCAGUGGGGGAUAUUGCACAAUGGGGGAAACCCUGAUGCAGCGACGCCGCGUGUGGGAAGACGGUCCUCUGGAUUGUAAACCACUGUCCCCAGGGACGAAGAUGACGGUACCUGGGGAGGAAGCUCCGGCUAACUACGUGCCAGCAGCCGCGGUAAUACGUAGGGAGCGAGCGUUGUCCGGAAUUACUGGGUGUAAAGGGAGCGUAGGCGGGACUGCAAGUUGGGUGUCAAAUCUACCGGCUCAACCGGUAGCCGCACUCAAAACUGCAGUUCUUGAGUGAAGUAGAGGCAGGCGGAAUUCCUAGUGUAGCGGUGAAAUGCGUAGAUAUUAGGAGGAACACCAGUGGCGAAGGCGGGCUGCUGGGCUUUUACUGACGCUGAGGCUCGAAAGUGUGGGGAGCAAACAGGAUUAGAUACCCGAGUAGUA
RNAcentral lists this ribosomal RNA (440 nucleotides) under uncultured bacterium. Its description in RNAcentral is "partial 16S ribosomal RNA". It matches the Rfam family "Bacterial small subunit ribosomal RNA", at positions 338 to 795 of the family's 1533-position model. The record is from RNAcentral.